Molecule: ribosomal RNA, 484 nt
Filed under: uncultured Desulfobulbus sp.
Lineage: Bacteria; Pseudomonadati; Thermodesulfobacteriota; Desulfobulbia; Desulfobulbales; Desulfobulbaceae
Description: bacterial SSU rRNA
Rfam family: Bacterial small subunit ribosomal RNA
Source: RNAcentral
GAAUUGACGGGGCCCGGCACAAGCGGUGGAGUAUGUGGUUUAAUUCGAUGCAACGCGAAGAACCGUUACCUGGUCUUGACAUCCCGGAGGACCCUUAGGAAACUAAGGGGGUGCUUCCAUCUGGAAGAAUCUGGAGACAGGUGCUGCAUGGCUGUCGUCAGCUCGUGUCGUGAGAUGUUGGGUUAAGUCCCGCAACGAGCGCAACCCUUGCCUUUAGUUGCCAGCAGUUCGGCUGGGCACUCUAAAGGGACUGCCGGUGUUAAACCGGAGGAAGGUGGGGAUGACGUCAAGUCCUCAUGGCCUUUAUGACCAGGGCUACACACGUACUACAAUGGCCGAUACAAAGGGCAGCGACACUGCGAGGUGAAGCCAAUCCCGUAAAAUCGGUCUCAGUCCGGAUUGGAGUCUGCAACUCGACUCCAUGAAGUUGGAAUCGCUAGUAAUCGUGGAUCAGCAUGCCACGGUGAAUACGUUCCCGGGCCUU